UCAGGACGAACGCUGGCGGCGUGCCUAAUACAUGCAAGUCGAACGGUCUUUCUAUGGAGGCUUGCUUCCACUGAGAAGAUAGUGGCGAACGGGUGAGUAACACGUGGGUAACCCUGCCCAUAAGAGGGGGGAUAACAUCCGGAAACGGGUGCUAAUACCGCAUAGUUUUCUUGAUCGCAUGAUCGGGAAAGGAAAGACGGCCUUUGUGCUGUCGCUUAUGGAUGGACCCGCGGCGUAUUAGUUAGUUGGUGAGGUAACGGCUCACCAAGACGAUGAUACGUAGCCGACCUGAGAGGGUGAUCGGCCACAUUGGGACUGAGACACGGCCCAAACUCCUACGGGAGGCAGCAGUAGGGAAUCUUCCGCAAUGGACGAAAGUCUGACGGAGCAACGCCGCGUGAGUGAAGAAAGGUUUUCGGAUCGUAAAACUCUGUUGUCAGAGAAGAACAAGUUGGAGAGUAACUGCUCCAGCCUUGACGGUAUCUGACCAGAAAGCCACGGCUAACUACGUGCCAGCCGCAGC
Molecule: ribosomal RNA, 523 nt
Filed under: uncultured bacterium
Lineage: Bacteria
Description: bacterial SSU rRNA
Rfam family: Bacterial small subunit ribosomal RNA
Source: RNAcentral